AAGGCUUCAGUACGACCCAGUCAGAACCAUAAGUCUCAAAGCCCCGACGAGUAGGGUGGCGUGCCGGUGCGCGUUGAAGGCCAAGACGUGAGUCAGGCUGGAGCCGCCGGUAGUGCAGAUCUUGGUGGUAGUAGCAAGUACUCUGGUGAACCAACCUGGAGCUGUGAGGUCUGGAUUAGGGUUCCAUGUCAACAGUGAUUGAACAUGGGUGAGUCGAUCCUAAGCCAGCUGUGAAUGCAGUGACAUCCCGACAACGGGGACUAAUACAUGACCCGGCACUUACACCCCCAUACCAAAGCUCUCGUGUAUCUCUCUCUCAGUAUGUCACGAAAAGGUAUCUGGUACGGAAAAUGCGCACACACGAUGAUCGCUACGUAGUGUGAGUGUGUGCGCUUGUCUCGUUACGCUCAUAAGCGUUGUUGCUCUCUGGCAAAAGUCUAAAAGUCGCGCAUACACACGGUGAUCACUACGCAGUGUGAGUGUGUGUGCGCGCGCGCGCACACAAACGAAAGCAUAAAAAGGAGUCGAGAGAGAGAGAGAAAGAGAGUGGGUGAGCGUGAGUUGACCCUAUCGUGAGUCCUACGCGUCUGGUUCUAUGUCCGGCGAAAGGGAAUGGGGACUUUGUUCCUUGACCGGUCCCGGCACCCUCGAUUGGCUUUGCCAAUCAAUGGUCCAUGCAAAUGGAACCAGGCCACAGCCGUCGGCAGUCGCCCGAGGAAGAGUUUUCUUUUCUGCUUAACGCACGAGGUCAUCCCUGGAAACAGUUCGGCUGGCGAAAGGGUGUCCCGUUGCGGCAGAGCGCCACGACUGUCGUGCGCGUCUCGGUGUUCCUGCUGAUCCGUGAAAACGUGGUCGAGGGGUGUGCUCUUGUAUCAACGAAACGUCCGACAAGUUCGGGACGGACCGUACCCUAUAUCCGCAUCUGGUCUCCAAGGUUCGUAGCCUCUGCAGAGUCAGACACAUGUAGGUAAGGGAAGUCGGCAAACUCGAUCCGUAACUUCGGGAAAAGGAUUGGCUCUGAGGGCCGAGCUGGGCCGGGCCUUGCCUGCAAAGCAGUACCUAUAGUGACCGGAGUUUCAGGAGUGCGAGGGGCUCUAGUAGCUGCUUGUGCGUGUGUGUGCGUUCGCGCGUGCAUGGGCGUGUGGGCACGAACGAGUCCACCGCUCCGCUCCAACCACGAACGGCUGUGACGGCAAGGGCUCUGGGCGGGAGCGAUCUAUCCGUUGGCCUCCAGCGCGUCUGGGUGGCGGCGGUGCUCCGUCUGACUCAUACGGCUCCAGCGGCUAGCGGCUAACUCA
RNAcentral lists this ribosomal RNA (1298 nucleotides) under Niphargus stenopus. RNAcentral describes it as "partial large subunit ribosomal RNA". It matches the Rfam family "Eukaryotic large subunit ribosomal RNA", at positions 1324 to 2110 of the family's 3401-position model. Lineage: Eukaryota; Metazoa; Arthropoda; Malacostraca; Amphipoda; Niphargidae. The record is from RNAcentral.